AUCGAUAUCACGUUGAUGCAUAUUUAUACCUACUUUUGGUUAACUUCCUUGUUACGUGAGCUUAAAGUCUUUUUUAUUCAAGCUUUUUGUUUGGGAUAAUACAGCGAUGAGCAUGGGUUUAGUGAUAGUUGAACGGAAAAUCGAACUUUUAACUGUGUUGUGUAUUUGUUUCUCUAGUAUAACAGUUACAGGAUGUUUAGGUUACAGAGUAUACUGUGAGAUAGGAGGUGAAGUCUGUCUUGAUUUUGUAAAGAACAAUUCUUUUUAUACCUUCGCAAUCAAAAAAGACAGUUUGCCUGUUUGUGUUUCAUUUGAUGGAUCAUCUACAUACGUUUUUUCACCUUUUAUUGACAAGGUUAACUGUAGUAUCUCUCCAAUAAGUAUGUCUUUGUGUUUGGGCAAUUUUACGUCAGAUGAUGCUGGAACAUUUUCACUACAUAACGGUGUCACAAAUUCAAGUGUUCUUUUUAAUAGCAUAUUACUGGUAAAAGCAACACCAGUGACAUUUGUGAAUAUGACCCCGACACCAAUCACUAUGACUGCGGGACAACAGAUGAUUAUAACCUGUGAAACAUCAUACUGUAAUCCACCAGCCGAAAUCACGUGGUACAUGUCAACAGUAAACAUUACAAACCAAAAAAAUGGACAAACAAAUUUAUACGAUGGUCUGGUGAGAACAAUGUCAACACUGUCAAUCAAUGCAGUCAAAUCAGACAAUGGAAAACAUGUGUAUUGUACAGCCAGCAACAAUCCAGGAGAGAGAGUAAAUUCCACGGUUAAUGUACUUACAGUUUUGUACAGACCAGAAGUGACAUCAAUUGUGUCUAGUCCAUACAUCGUUGAGGAAGGACAGACAGUUUCACUAUCGUGUGCAGUAAUUCAUGCCAACCCAAACACUAAUAUCACGUGGAGAUGGUUCAGAACAGACCGUCCUUUUUAUACUCUUUUUUAUGGACCAAACUAUACAGCACCUAACAUAGAGCGAAACAUUUCCGGAUCAUACAGCUGUACAGCCAGAAAUUCUGUAGGGACAUCUGAAGCGGAUGUAAUUAAUGUGGAUGUGCAAUAUAAACCGGAUGUAAUAACACGCAUGCCAAGUCCAUACACAGUUAUAGAGGGACAAAAAGCUACAUUAGAAUGUUUAGUGACAGCUGCCAACCCAAACACUAGUAUUAUAUGGAGAUGGUUCAAAACGGAUAGUCCUAGUAAGGUCCUUUAUAAUGGAUCAAUCUAUCAUGUUCAUGACAUACAGAGGAAUAUGUCUGGAUUAUACAACUGUACAGCCAGCAACUCUGUAGGGACAGCUGAAGCAGUCACAAUAGCCGUGGAUGUAUUGUAUAAACCAGAAGUGAUUUCUAGUACACCAAAUCAAUACAAAAUUAUUGAGGGGAGAAACGGUACAUUAGAGUGCUUAAUGAUUGCUGCAAACCCGAACACCAAUAUUAUUUGGAAAUGGAUCAAUACAAACAAUCCUAGUAAUGUCCUUCAUAAUGGAUCAGCCUAUACAAUCUCGAACAUACACAGGAACAGGACAGGAUUGUAUAAUUGUACCUCUACCAACUUAGCAGGAACAUCUAUAGCAGUCACAAUAUCCGUCGAUGUUAUGUACAAGCCACAUAUAAUCGAUUCCCCAAGCAUAACAGUAAAUGAGAAUGAAAGGGUCGUACUAACUAAAGAAAUAGUCAGCAAUCCAUUAUCAAAUGUAUCCUGGUAUGAUGGAUCGGAGUUGUUACUAACCCAGUAUGCAGUGAGGACCGCUACAUUUAUCAUACAGAAAGCCACAUGUACAGACACUAAGAAUUUUACCCUUAUUGCUAGUAACACAGUGGAGGGAAACGUGUCGGCGUUGAUGGAAGUAAAAGUUAAUUGCAAACCCCAGUCAUAUAAAACAAAUUUUACGCUUGGAGUGACUGAUACUACUGGAAUUGAUUUUUCAACCUUUGUUAUUGCAUAUCCUGAGCCUUCGAUUAAAUUGGAAUAUGAAAAUGGAUCUGUAUCCGAUCAGAUGAUGAAAAGUAUAAGCAGAAAUGCAGUGAAUAAUUUUACCAUUCAUAUCAGUCAGGCAGUUCUUAAUCAGAGUAAUUUUGGAGUUUAUCGUCUUAAAGUAUGGAAUUCGUUUGGAGAAGUAACCAUGAUUGUGAAUGUAAUACCCCAAAGAAAACCAAACAGUCCAGGCAAUGUUGAAAUUUUUUGUGAAAAAACGAGUGCAAAUGUGCAAUGGAAGUCAUCUUUUAAUGGUGGAGACCCCCAGUUAUUUACUAUCUUUGCUUCAAACGGUCAGCAAUUUGAAUCUGAACUCAUAUCAGAUAGGGGAGAAAAUGAAAUUCAUUCAGCAUUUAUACAAAAUCUUCAACCUUCUACGACUUAUGUGUUCUAUGUAUCUGCACAGAACAGUCAUGGACUUAUCUCUUCAGAAAGAAUCAACUGCACGACAUUAAAAGAGUCUUCUAAUAAUUUGCCAGUUAUUACCGGAAGCGUGGCUGCUGGAGGGAUUACUCUAGCAAUUGUGGUCAUUGCUGUUGUCGUGGUUUUUCGAAGAUUCAAAAAGUCAGGCAGCCAAGCAAGGUAUGGAAAGGAAGAGCCAGAAAUAAUAUUUUCAUUCACUAAAAAUCUGUGUAUGGGCUAUUUCUUUCAAUGUCGUAUUCCAGACAUAGAAAUGGACAACAGAACGGAAUGAACAUAGUGAAAGGUGAGUAUUGAUUGAUAGUUAUUUAGUCCUAGUCCGUAUGUUAUGCAUCUAUCAUUAUUAAAAUCAAGAAAUGUAUCAAAAAUACUAUUUUUAAGAACUUUCUCAUUAAUCGCAAACGCUUAAUUUGGCUUUAUCAUUAUUCGUUAAGCACCAAAAUUAGCUUGCGGGUAUCAUUAUUUAAUCAUUGAAGUAAAAAUGAAUAUUGUAAUGGAAAAGAAGUCGUUCAAGAAUUAUCACUUCUUCAAAACCGCCAAUUUCAAAAUAAUUCCAAACUUUAUGACAACAAAUGUGUAACGUCAAUCAAUGUAUCUAGUGAUACCAUUUGCAUUUUUAUCAUAACGCAAUAUGCAGUUUUGUAUUUUUAUUCCUUUAAAUCGUUUUUGUGGUUCUUCUGAUCGAAGGUAAUUGUUAAGAAAAUUCACGAUUUGUUUUAUAUUUUAAAUAUCUUAACUAAUACACCAAUCAAAAAUAAACAAACGCAUAAGAUUUGCUUUGCUUAUGUAAAAUCAUUGUAACGAGACGAGAGAUUUAAAACAUAUAAGCAAACGUUACUAUUAAUUAACAAAAUUGUAAGAGACUAAAUAGUUUAUAUUGUAAAAGUAUAAAAUGUUCUUUUGAAAUAACUAGAUUGGUACAAGAAUUCGUCGUGGUUUUGUUUAUAUUUCAGAAACGUUUAUGAUAUAUUAUCACAAAACGAGGGUGCAAAUCAGUACGAAGCUUAUCUAAUGAAAGAAAGUCAAGAAACUAAGAGUCAAAUGUAUGAAAGCUUACAAAAGACAGAGGUUUCUGAUAAACGAAACAUUUGUGACAAACAGA
RNA transcript from Magallana angulata, 3505 nucleotides. It is a transcript of the gene named carcinoembryonic antigen-related cell adhesion molecule 5-like, with no coding region annotated. The transcript has 15 exons. Lineage: Eukaryota; Metazoa; Mollusca; Bivalvia; Ostreida; Ostreidae. The record is from RefSeq and is a predicted model, not a curated record.